RNAcentral lists this ribosomal RNA (484 nucleotides) under uncultured bacterium. RNAcentral's name for it is "partial 16S ribosomal RNA". It matches the Rfam family "Bacterial small subunit ribosomal RNA", at positions 30 to 507 of the family's 1533-position model. The record is from RNAcentral.
AUUGAACGCUGGCGGCAGGCCUAACACAUGCACGUAGAGCGGCUGCUGGGAGAUAGCCCCUGGAUUCCGCGGCCGACGGGUGUGUCUUGCCUAGGAAUCUGUCUGGCUGUGUGGGCUCACGUCUGCAAACGGGUGCUACUACCGCCUACGUCCUGAGGGAGUAAGUGGGGGAUCUUGGGCUCUCACGCUGUCAGAUGAGCCUAGGUCGGUUUAACUAGUUGGUGGGGUAAAGGCCUCCUAAGGCGACGAUCCGUAACUGGUCUGAUCGGAUGACCAGUCAAACUGGAACUGAGACACGGUCCAGACUCCUACGGGAGGCAGCAGUGGGGAAUAUUGGACAAUGGGCGAAAGCCUGAUCCAGCCAUGCCGCGUGUGUGAAGAAGGUCUUCGGAUUGUAAAGCACUUUAAGUUGGGAGGAAGGGCAGUAAGUUAAUACCUUGCUGUUUUGACGUUACCAACAGAAUAAGCACCGGCUAACUUCGUG